Molecule: ribosomal RNA, 542 nt
Filed under: Aureobasidium pullulans
Lineage: Eukaryota; Fungi; Ascomycota; Dothideomycetes; Dothideales; Saccotheciaceae
Description: eukaryotic LSU rRNA
Rfam family: 5.8S ribosomal RNA (bases 213-366)
Source: RNAcentral
CUUCCGUAAGGUGACCUGCGGAAGGAUCAUUAAAGAGUAAGGGUGCUCAGCGCCCGACCUCCAACCCUUUGUUGUUAAAACUACCUUGUUGCUUUGGCGGGACCGCUCGGUCUCGAGCCGCUGGGGAUUCGUCCCAGGCGAGCGCCCGCCAGAGUUAAACCAAACUCUUGUUAUUAAACCGGUCGUCUGAGUUAAAAUUUUGAAUAAAUCAAAACUUUCAACAACGGAUCUCUUGGUUCUCGCAUCGAUGAAGAACGCAGCGAAAUGCGAUAAGUAAUGUGAAUUGCAGAAUUCAGUGAAUCAUCGAAUCUUUGAACGCACAUUGCGCCCCUUGGUAUUCCGAGGGGCAUGCCUGUUCGAGCGUCAUUACACCACUCAAGCUAUGCUUGGUAUUGGGUGCCGUCCUUAGUUGGGCGCGCCUUAAAGACCUCGGCGAGGCCUCACCGGCUUUAGGCGUAGUAGAAUUUAUUCGAACGUCUGUCAAAGGAGAGGACUUCUGCCGACUGAAACCUUUAUUUUUCUAGGUGACCUCGGAUCAGGUA